This 433-nucleotide ribosomal RNA is filed under the name uncultured bacterium. RNAcentral describes it as "partial 16S ribosomal RNA". It matches the Rfam family "Bacterial small subunit ribosomal RNA", at positions 29 to 507 of the family's 1533-position model. The record is from RNAcentral.
AACGAACGCUGGCGGCAUGCCUAACACAUGCAAGUCGAACGAAGUCUUCGGACUUAGUGGCGUCCGGGUGCGUAACGCGUGGGAAUAUGACCUUGGGUACGGAAUAACUCAGAGAAAUUUGUGCUAAUACCGUAUAAUGUCUUCGGACCAAAGAUUUAUCGCCCAAGGAUGAGCACGCGUAAGAUUAGCUAGUUGGUGGGGUAAAAGCCUACCAAGGCGAGGAUCUUUAGAUGGGCUGAGAGGAUGGUCAGCCACACUGGGACUGAGACACGGCCCAGACUCCUACGGGAGGCAGGAGUGGGUAAUAGUGCACAAUGGGCGGAAGGCUGAUGCAGCAAUGCUGCGUGAGUGAUGAAGUCCCUAGGGUUGUAAAGUUCUUUUACCAGGGAUGAUAAUGACAGUACCUGGAGAAUAAGCCCCGGCUAACUCCGUG